This 460-nucleotide ribosomal RNA is filed under the name uncultured bacterium. RNAcentral describes it as "partial 16S ribosomal RNA". It matches the Rfam family "Bacterial small subunit ribosomal RNA", at positions 338 to 795 of the family's 1533-position model. The record is from RNAcentral.
CCUACGGGAGGCAGCAGUGAGGAAUAUUGGUCAAUGGACGGAAGUCUGAACCAGCCAUGCCGCGUGCAGGAAGACGGCUCUAUGAGUUGUAAACUGCUUUUGUACAAAGGUAAACCUGAAUACGUGUAUUCAGCUGAAAGUACUGUACGAAUAAGGAUCGGCUAACUCCGUGCCAGCAGCCGCGGUACUACGGAGGAUCCAAGCGUUCUCCGGAUUUAUUGGGUUUAAAGGGUGCGUAGGCGGAUUGAUAAGUUAGAGGUGAAAUGGCCGAGCUUAACUCGGGAAUUGCCUCUAAUACUGGUGAUCUAGAGAGUAGAUGCGGGAGGCGGAAUGUAUGGUGUAGCGGGGAAAUGCUUAGAGAUCAUACAGAACACCGAUUGCGAAGGCAGCUUACCAAUCUAUAUCUGACGUUGAGGCACGAAAGCGUGGGGAGCAAACAGGAUUAGAUACCCCAGUAGUC